CGUAGCCGCGGGAAUACGUAGGUGGCAAGCGUUGUCCGGAAUUAUUGGGCGUAAAGGGCUCGCAGGCGGUUUCUUAAGUCUGAUGUGAAAGCCCCCGGCUCAACCGGGGAGGGUCAUUGGAAACUGGGAAACUUGAGUGCAGAAGAGGAGAGUGGAAUUCCACGUGUAGCGGUGAAAUGCGUAGAGAUGUGGAGGAACACCAGUGGCGAAGGCGACUCUCUGGUCUGUAACUGACGCUGAGGAGCGAAAGCGUGGGGAGCGAACAGGAUUAGAUACCCCCGUAGUCCCUGUCUCUUAUACC
This 301-nucleotide ribosomal RNA is filed under the name uncultured bacterium. RNAcentral's name for it is "partial 16S ribosomal RNA". It matches the Rfam family "Bacterial small subunit ribosomal RNA", at positions 510 to 808 of the family's 1533-position model. The record is from RNAcentral.